UACGUAGGGUCCGAGCGUUGUCCGGAAUUACUGGGCGUAAAGAGCUCGUAGGUGGUUUGUCGCGUUGUUCGUGAAAACUCACAGCUCAACUGUGGGCGUGCGGGCGAUACGGGCAGACUGGAGUACUGCAGGGGAGACUGGAAUUCCUGGUGUAGCGGUGGAAUGCGCAGAUAUCAGGAGGAACACCGGUGGCGAAGGCGGGUCUCUGGGCAGUAACUGACGCUGAGGAGCGAAAGCUAGGGGAGCAAACGGG
Molecule: ribosomal RNA, 253 nt
Filed under: uncultured bacterium
Lineage: Bacteria
Description: partial 16S ribosomal RNA
Rfam family: Bacterial small subunit ribosomal RNA
Source: RNAcentral